CCUACGGGUGGCAGCAGUGAGGAAUAUUGGUCAAUGGGCGCGAGCCUGAACCAGCCAAGUAGCGUGAAGGAUGAAGGCCCUACGGGUUGUAAACUUCUUUUAUAAAGGAAUAAAGUGAGGCACGUGUGCCUUUUUGUAUGUACUUUAUGAAUAAGGAUCGGCUAACUCCGUGCCAGCAGCCGCGGUAAUACGGAGGAUCCGAGCGUUAUCCGGAUUUAUUGGGUUUAAAGGGAGCGUAGUUGGGUUGUUAAGUCAGUGGUGAAAGUUUGCGGCUCAACCGUAGAAUUGCACUUGAUACUGGCAGCCUUGAGUACAGUUGAGGUAGGCGGAAUUCGUGGUGUAGCGGUGAAAUGCUUAGAUCUCACGAAGAACUCCGAUUGCGAAGGCAGCUUACUAGACUGCCACUGACAUUGAUGCUCGAAAGUGUGGGUAUCAAACAGGAUUAGAUACCCUUGUAGUC
This 460-nucleotide ribosomal RNA is filed under the name uncultured bacterium. Its description in RNAcentral is "partial 16S ribosomal RNA". It matches the Rfam family "Bacterial small subunit ribosomal RNA", at positions 338 to 795 of the family's 1533-position model. The record is from RNAcentral.